RNAcentral lists this ribosomal RNA (433 nucleotides) under uncultured bacterium. RNAcentral describes it as "partial 16S ribosomal RNA". It matches the Rfam family "Bacterial small subunit ribosomal RNA", at positions 29 to 507 of the family's 1533-position model. The record is from RNAcentral.
AACGAACGCUGGCGGCAUGCCUAACACAUGCAAGUCGAACGAGACCUUCGGGUCUAGUGGCGCACGGGUGCGUAACGCGUGGGAAUCUGCCCUUCGGUUGGGAAUAACUGAGAGAAAUUUCAGCUAAUACCUUAUAAUGUCUUCGGACCAAAGAUUUAUCGCCGAGGGAUGAGCCCGCGUAGGAUUAGGUAGUUGGUGGGGUAAUGGCCUACCAAGCCGACGAUCCUUAGCUGGUCUGAGAGGAUGAUCAGCCACACUGGGACUGAGACACGGCCCAGACUCCUACGGGAGGCAGCAGUGGGGAAUAUUGGACAAUGGGCGAAAGCCUGAUCCAGCAAUGCCGCGUGAGUGAUGAAGGCCUUAGGGUUGUAAAGCUCUUUUACCCGGGAUGGUAAUGACAGUACCGGGAGAAUAAGCUCCGGCUAACUCCGUG